UACGUAGGUGGCAAGCGUUAUCCGGAAUUAUUGGGCGUAAAGAGCGCGCAGGUGGUUGAUUAAGUCUGAUGUGAAAGCCCACGGCUUAACCGUGGAGGGUCAUUGGAAACUGGUCGACUUGAGUGCAGAAGAGGGAAGUGGAAUUCCAUGUGUAGCGGUGAAAUGCGUAGAGAUAUGGAGGAACACCAGUGGCGAAGGCGGCUUCCUGGUCUGUAACUGACACUGAGGCGCGAAAGCGUGGGGAACAAACAGGAUUAGAUACCCGGGUA
RNAcentral lists this ribosomal RNA (269 nucleotides) under uncultured prokaryote. RNAcentral's name for it is "partial 16S ribosomal RNA". It matches the Rfam family "Bacterial small subunit ribosomal RNA", at positions 524 to 792 of the family's 1533-position model. The record is from RNAcentral.